Molecule: ribosomal RNA, 253 nt
Filed under: uncultured bacterium
Lineage: Bacteria
Description: partial 16S ribosomal RNA
Rfam family: Bacterial small subunit ribosomal RNA
Source: RNAcentral
GACGGAGGGUGCAAGCGUUGUUCGGAAUUACUGGGCGUAAAGGGGGCGUAGGCGGUCUGUUAAGUUCGGCGUGAAAGCCCUCGGCUUACCCGGGGAACUGCGCCGGAAACCGACAGACUCGAGUACCGGAGAGGAGGGUGGAAUUCCUGGUGUAGCGGUGAAAUGCGUAGAUAUCAGGAGGAACACCGGUGGCGAAGGCGGCCCUCUGGACGGAUACUGACGCUGAGGCGCGAAAGCGUGGGGAGCGAACAGG